UGGAAGUAAAAGUGGUAACAAGGUUUCCGUAGGUUAAGUUCAGCCUACCACAGCAGCUCUCCAGCUGCUAGUGACCUCGCGGUCGCUACACGCCCAAUGUGCGGAAAAGCCCUGUCAAGGGAAACCCGCAGCCCCUACCCGGGGUUCAGAGACUCAAUAGGCGUGGGUCUGGCUGCCGCAGCCAGGCUUGAGAUAGAGCCCGUCCUCGCUGGGCCAACGGCGAGGAGCAAACGGAACCUGCGGAAGGAUCAUUA
RNAcentral lists this ribosomal RNA (254 nucleotides) under Coccomyces sinensis. Its description in RNAcentral is "partial 18S ribosomal RNA". Lineage: Eukaryota; Fungi; Ascomycota; Leotiomycetes; Rhytismatales; Rhytismataceae. The record is from RNAcentral.